Molecule: unclassified non-coding RNA, 253 nt
Filed under: uncultured bacterium
Lineage: Bacteria
Description: contains 16S-23S intergenic spacer region
Rfam family: Bacterial small subunit ribosomal RNA
Source: RNAcentral
UACGGAGGGGGCAAGCGUUGCUCGGAUUCAUUGGGCGUAAAGGGUGUGUAGGCGUCCCUUCAAGUCAGAUGUGAAAUCCCUAGGCUCAACCUAGGAACUGCAUUUGAUACUGUUGGGAUUGAGCUUGGGAGAGGUGAGCGGAAUUCCCGGUGUAAGGGUGAAAUCUGUAGAUAUCGGGAGGAACACCAGUGGCGAAGGCGGCUCACUGGCCUAAAGCUGACGCUGAAACACGAAAGCUAGGGUAGCAAACAGG